Molecule: ribosomal RNA, 146 nt
Filed under: Escherichia coli
Lineage: Bacteria; Pseudomonadati; Pseudomonadota; Gammaproteobacteria; Enterobacterales; Enterobacteriaceae
Also listed under: 17 other names
Description: partial 16S ribosomal RNA
Rfam family: Bacterial small subunit ribosomal RNA
Source: RNAcentral
UUAAAUUGAAGAGUUUGAUCAUGGCUCAGAUUGAACGCUGGCGGCAGGCCUAACACAUGCAAGUCGAACGGUAACAGGAAGCAGCUUGCUGCUUCGCUGACGAGUGGCGGACGGGUGAGUAAUGUCUGGGAAACUGCCUGAUGGAG